AUGAGCCAUAGUUGUGCUGGGAGCAGAGAGGAGCAGCAUAUAUAUGAAGUUCUGAGUCACAUACGUGAAGGCGGGGAGCUGGCUGAGGCAGAGGAUGAGGGCCAGGCUGCUGGAGUCUGGGUGUUGAAAUCUGCUGAGAUUUAUUUUGAUGAAGGUGCUGGCCUGGCCCAGUAUCCAGACCCAAAGCUCUUCAUAAGGGAUCAGACCCUGAGUCCCAAGUUUCAUCUUCCAGAGAGAAGGCGGAGGAAGCUGGAAGUUUCUUUAACCCGCAGCUUGCUUCUGAAGAUUCUGCGGGAUGCAUUAGGUGAACAUGAGGCCAUUACAACCUCUCUGAGAGGCCUUUGUGCGGAGUUUGGGCUGAGGUGGUGA
RNAcentral lists this long non-coding RNA (369 nucleotides) under Felis catus (domestic cat). RNAcentral's name for it is "lncRNA (ENSFCAG00000053318.1)". Lineage: Eukaryota; Metazoa; Chordata; Mammalia; Carnivora; Felidae. The record is from RNAcentral.